CCCCUUGCGUUGAAAGGAAGCACCGGCUCCCAACAUGCCGCGAGCCGAAAAGACCCAACCUCGGAACCAGCACUAAAGAGACGGUACCCCACGCAUGCGGUUCAUGCCACCUUACGUGUGGCACUUUCCUUUGCAUUUUGUGGCCAAGUUUUAGUAUAAUCAUUAUUUAAAAGCCAUACGGCUCUGUCCUGCAACCAAAGGAG
RNAcentral lists this long non-coding RNA (203 nucleotides) under Elaeis guineensis (African oil palm). RNAcentral describes it as "long non-coding RNA (EGUI_LNC051824)". Lineage: Eukaryota; Viridiplantae; Streptophyta; Magnoliopsida; Arecales; Arecaceae. The record is from RNAcentral.